CAAAAAGUUCGGUGCCUCAUGCUGGAAUCGAACCAGCGACCUUCUGUUUACUAGACAGACGCUCUGCCACUGAGCCAAUGAGGCGCAUAAGAGAAACACUUUUCUCUCCGUAGAAAUGCAUGCCGCUAGCCAACUAACCGAACGACCGC
Non-coding RNA from Caenorhabditis elegans, 149 nucleotides. NCBI's taxonomy places the organism in Eukaryota, Metazoa, Nematoda, Chromadorea, Rhabditida, Rhabditidae. The record is from Ensembl.